This 387-nucleotide ribosomal RNA is filed under the name Triticum aestivum (bread wheat). RNAcentral's name for it is "partial small subunit ribosomal RNA". Lineage: Eukaryota; Viridiplantae; Streptophyta; Magnoliopsida; Poales; Poaceae. The record is from RNAcentral.
AUGGGGAACACCGGCAAGGCCGUGGUAGUUCUCAGUAUUCUUGUUUUCCUGCAGAUCUGGUGCGGCGCCGGGCAAGUCCAUGACGUCCGAGCGGUGAUGUCGGUGAACGGAUUCCAGCAAGGAGAGGAGGGCGGGCCGGCAACGUGCGACGGCCAGUACCACAGCGACGACCUUUUCCUGGUGUCAAUGGCUUCGAAGUGGUUCGGACCUGGCGUCCGGUGUGCCAAGAUGAUCCGCAUCGUGAGCUUGCCCGGGAUCGUGCAGGCCAUUGUGGUGGACGAAUGCGCGGACGGUUGCGGCGACAACGAGAUCAGCACAUCGACCGCCAUGUGGAAGGCCAUGGGGUUCGACCCCAGUAUGGGCGAGGUGCCCGUCCUCUGGUCGGAU